RNAcentral lists this ribosomal RNA (240 nucleotides) under uncultured bacterium. Its description in RNAcentral is "partial 16S ribosomal RNA". It matches the Rfam family "Bacterial small subunit ribosomal RNA", at positions 92 to 334 of the family's 1533-position model. The record is from RNAcentral.
CGACCGGCGCACGGGUGCGUAACGCGUAUGUAACCUACCUAUAACAGGGGCAUAACACUGAGAAAUUGGUACUAAUACCCCAUAAUAUCAUAGAAGGCAUCUUUUAUGGUUGAAAAUUCCGAUGGUUAGAGAUGGGCAUGCGUUGUAUUAGCUAGUUGGUGGGGUAACGGCUCACCAAGGCGACGAUACAUAGGGGGACUGAGAGGUUAACCCCCACACUGGUACUGAGACACGGACCAG